CCUACGGGUGGCAGCAGUGGGGAAUAGUGGACAAUGGGGGGAACCCUGAUCCAGCGACGCCGCGUGAGUGAAGAAGUAUUUCGGGAUGUAAAGCUCUAUCAGCAGGGAAGAAAGAAAUGACGGUACCGGACUAAGAAGCACCGGCUAACGACGUGCCAGCAGCCGCGGUAAUACGUAGGGGGCAAGCGUUAGCCGGAUUUACUGGGUGGAAAGGGAGCGUAGCCGGCGAUGCAAGUCGGAAGUGCAAGGCGGGGGCCCAACCCCCGGACUGCUUGGGAAACUGUAUGGCUGGCGUGCAGGUGAGGUAAGUGGCAUUCCUCGUGUCUCGGUUCCAUGCGUCGAUAUUAGGAGGAACCCCAGUGGCGCAGGCGGCUUACUGGACUGUAACUGCCGUUGCGGCUCGAAAGCGUGGGGCGCAAACAGGAUUAGCUACCCGAGUAGUC
RNAcentral lists this ribosomal RNA (443 nucleotides) under uncultured bacterium. Its description in RNAcentral is "partial 16S ribosomal RNA". It matches the Rfam family "Bacterial small subunit ribosomal RNA", at positions 338 to 795 of the family's 1533-position model. The record is from RNAcentral.